AUAAAGAGCUGAUGUUUCUUUCAGGCCAAGACCUCUGGGAAGUUCUCUGAUGAGGAGUUGGAUAAGCUUUGGCGAGAAUUUAAGCAUCACAAAGAAAAGAUUCGUGAAUACAAUAUUCUGCUGGAGACUGUGAGCAGAACAGAAGAUAUCCACAAAAAUGUUAUCAAUCCAUCUGAGGAGAACAUGGUGAAAGAGGAAAUCUUGCACAACAAACACAGAGAACUCAAGGAGAAGUUAAGAAGCAUCAAUCAGGGGUUUGAGCGUUUACGUAAAGUCAGUCACCAGGGAUAUG
Non-coding RNA from Cyanistes caeruleus (blue tit), 292 nucleotides. NCBI's taxonomy places the organism in Eukaryota, Metazoa, Chordata, Aves, Passeriformes, Paridae. The record is from RefSeq and is a predicted model, not a curated record.